UGCAGCUGUGUCAAAUUCAGUCCUCAUCCAACCCAUGCUGGGGACUGGCCAAACAGCUGCCACAGCAAUGGCUGUAGCUCAUGAGCCCCACUGUCCGUCUUGACCCUGGGGAUAAAUAAAUGCUACAGACACUG
Molecule: small nucleolar RNA, 134 nt
Organism: Accipiter nisus (Eurasian sparrowhawk)
Lineage: Eukaryota; Metazoa; Chordata; Aves; Accipitriformes; Accipitridae
Source: Ensembl